ACAAGGUUUCCGUAGGUGAACCUGCGGAAGGAUCAAUUGUCAAACGUCAUACUUCAAAAUGACCUGUGAACAUGUACUCACAAUCUAGGGUUGAAGAAAUAGGCUCAUACCUGUGACUUUUAUGCCCUGCUAAUAGGUAUUUAUGUGGCCUCCUAAUGAGGCCUUAUAGAUAUUUUGUUGGCACCAAAACAAACCCCGGCACGGAAUGUGCCAAGGAAAAUAAAACAUAUGAAGGGUGUGGCCCGUGGUGUUCUCUUUUUAGUGUACACUCGGGCUUUCUAUCUUUCAAAAUCACAAACGACUCUCGGCAACGGAUAUCUUGGCUCACGCAUCGAUGAAGAACGUAGCAAAAUGCGAUACUUGGUGUGAAUUGCAGAAUCCCGUGAACCAUCGAGUUUUUGAACGCAAGUUGCGCCCGAAGCCAUUUGGUCGAGGGCACGUCUGCCUGGGCGUCACGCAUGUCGUUGCCCCCCACCAUGCCUUGUCAAAUAGCGGGCAUGUUGUUUGGGGCGGAGAAUGGUCUCCCAUGCCCAUGGUGUGGUUGGCCUAAAUAGAAGUCCUCUUCGAUUGAUGCACGACUAUUGGUGGUUGAAAUAACCUUUGCUUGGAGUCGUGUCACAAGUCGUAAGUAAAAUACUUCAUGAAAGACCCUAACGCAUUGUCUUAUGUUGACGCUUCGAACGCGACCCCAGGUCAGGCGGGACUACCCGCUGAGUUUAAGCA
This 723-nucleotide ribosomal RNA is filed under the name Strobocalyx solanifolia. RNAcentral describes it as "eukaryotic LSU rRNA". The stretch from base 300 to 455 matches the Rfam family "5.8S ribosomal RNA". The record is from RNAcentral. Lineage: Eukaryota; Viridiplantae; Streptophyta; Magnoliopsida; Asterales; Asteraceae.